AGGUAGCAUAAUCAUUUGUUAUCUAAAUGAUAACUAGUAUGAAUGGUCUGACGAGAAAAUAACUUUCUAAAAAGAAAAGAUGAAAAUUUAUUUAAAAGUAAAAAAGCUUUAAAGCUUUAGAAAGACGAGAAGACCCUAGAACCUGUUCUAUUCAUAUAGUUUGUUGGGGUGACAUUAUUCAAAACAAAUAACUAUUAAAACUUAUUAAUUGACUCUAUCUAUCUUUAUUAAAAAAAAAAAAGGUACUCUAGGGAUAACAGCAUAAUCUUCUUCUAGAGCCCUAAUCGACAAGAAAGAUUUUGACCUCGAUGUUGAAUUGAUAUUUCUUUCUAAAGCAGAA
This 340-nucleotide ribosomal RNA is filed under the name Armadillo officinalis (oak-woodland pillbug). RNAcentral describes it as "partial large subunit ribosomal RNA". It matches the Rfam family "Bacterial large subunit ribosomal RNA", at positions 1954 to 2560 of the family's 2925-position model. Lineage: Eukaryota; Metazoa; Arthropoda; Malacostraca; Isopoda; Armadillidae. The record is from RNAcentral.